RNAcentral lists this ribosomal RNA (433 nucleotides) under uncultured bacterium. RNAcentral's name for it is "bacterial SSU rRNA". It matches the Rfam family "Bacterial small subunit ribosomal RNA", at positions 355 to 786 of the family's 1533-position model. The record is from RNAcentral.
UAGGGAAUAUUGGACAAUGGUUGCAAGACUGAUCCAGCCAUGCCGCGUGCAGGAAGAAGGCCUUCUGGGUUGUAAACUGCUUUUCCCCGGGGAUAAAAAGACCCUGCGGGGUAAAUUGAAGGUACCGGGGGAAUAAGCCACGGCUAACUACGUGCCAGCAGCCGCGGUAAUACGUAGGUGGCAAGCGUUGUCCGGAUUUAUUGGGUUUAAAGGGUGCGUAGGCGGCCCUGUAAGUCAGUGGUGAAAUACGGCAGCUCAACUGUCGAGGUGCCAUCGAUACUGCGGGGCUUGAGUACUGAUGAGGUAGGCGGAAUUGGCGGUGUAGCGGUGAAAUGCUUAGAUAUCGUCAAGAACACCGAUAGCGAAGGCAGCUUACUAAGGAGUAACUGACGCUGAGGCACGAAAGUGCGGGGAUCAAACAGGAUUAGAUACC